Molecule: unclassified non-coding RNA, 322 nt
Filed under: uncultured fungus
Lineage: Eukaryota; Fungi
Description: partial contains 5.8S ribosomal RNA and internal transcribed spacer 2
Rfam family: 5.8S ribosomal RNA (bases 1-133)
Source: RNAcentral
UGGUUCUGGCAUCGAUGAAGAACGCAGCGAAAUGCGAUAAGUAGUGUGAAUUGCAGAAUUCAGUGAAUCAUCGAAUCUUUGAACGCACAUUGCGCCCUUUGGCAUUCCUUAGGGCAUGCCUGUUCGAGCGUCAUUGGAACCCUCAAGCUCUGCUUGGUGUUGGGCGCCUGUCCCGCCUCUGGCGCGGACUCGCCUGGAAAUCAUGGGCGGUGGAUGCACCGGCCGGAAGCGCAGCACAGUCGCGCCCUCUCCGGCCUUGCGCCCUCCCCCCCAGAAGACACGCCUUCGUCUUGACCUCGGAUCAGGUAGGGAUACCCGCUGA